This 3798-nucleotide ribosomal RNA is filed under the name Triticum aestivum (bread wheat). RNAcentral describes it as "partial small subunit ribosomal RNA". Lineage: Eukaryota; Viridiplantae; Streptophyta; Magnoliopsida; Poales; Poaceae. The record is from RNAcentral.
AUGGAUUUAGAAACCAGUCUGUUCAAACAAGGAUGGCGUGGCGGCGACGGCAUCCUCGUGGUGGACCUGUGUCCUCAAGCUCCGUCGUUGCGACGAUGUUUGCUCCAGCGUCGACGCGGAGCUUGGGAGGUAGUCCAGGAGCGGAUGCAGAUUGUGGACUGCAUCGACGACAUCUGGAAGACGGAACGUGUGAUGAGUUCAUGGUUCGUGGAUGGCAGAUAUGGUUUCCUCCUUCGGUGUCUUAGUCGUGGUGAGGUGCUACAUUUGGAGUUCGAUGGUGUGUCCGGGGUGUUGCCCUGGUCUGAUUCGUUCAACGUCAAUGGCUUCACUUUUGGUGAGCCACCUUGGAGGUCCGCAAAGCUGCAUAUCAGCGAUGGAGCCGCGUCGAGCUCGGGUGGGGGGGGUGAUUUGUCAUUCUUUUCUUCGGUGGCUGUUGUGGUGCCCAUCCACCUUCUCCCUCUUCGCGCCGUCAGUCCGAUCCCAUCCACCUCCACCCUCUCCCGCUCCGGCGCUCUGCAUGGUUCGAAGGAAGAUCACGUAGUACGCAAUGCUCACGCCGAAGCACCGACACGAGAUCCAGUAGGAGAUCCGGGCGAGACAAGCCGCGUGCGCCGCCCGCAUUGCUACCAGGCUGCCUCCAGACUCCUUGGAGCCAAAGGAGGAGGAGGAGCAGCCGGGGGAAGAGGAGGGAGAGGAGUUGGCUGCGAUGGAGGUGGAGGAGAUGGAGCAGCUAGAGCCGGAGCUACUGGACUUCAACAUGGAGCAGGCGGACACGGAGUUCAUAGUCGCCCAAUCGGAGGAGAUGCCGGAGUAGCAGGCCAUCCCGGAGUCCAUACAGGAGAAGGCCUAUGUGAAGGCCAACCGGGCACUCCUCCAGUAGGAGCAGACGACGUCCGACGCGCUCUUCACGGAACUCGACGCCGAGGUAGAGGAGGAGGAGCCGGACCGGAGCAGCCGGAGGAGCCGGAGCUACAGCCGCCGCCCAUACUGCCAGAGCUGGGCACGGAGAUCGUCGACAUCUCCGACAACGAGCAGACCCAUGGGUCCCAGUUUAGAGGCAAGGUUGCCUCCAGCACUGGAGAUGCUCUUACAGGGCCAUCCCCGGCUCGGGCGAGAAGUAGUGGUAGCAGCAGGCAGCAGCAAUGCUGCGUUUGCUCCUCGUCCCCGGAUGAGUGGACCGACUCUCAUCGCUACAAAAAAACCGACACUUCAAGGGAAGAACCAUUCGCAGGGCAUGCCGCGCGCGGAAAGAUCAUCUAUAACACUGAAGCGUCACGUGUCCCGGAGACAUCCUGGCCGCCGCCGCCGCCGGCAGCGGCGGUGGUGGCGGCGCCCGGCCGCCAAAGGCGGCGGGCAAGAUCUGCACGCCCUGACAUGGCUCCUUCGCGCGGGGGAGCACCGUCUUGUGGGCGUCGUGACGGCUGGCGGUUCUGGUGCGGUGGCGCGCGGCAGAGAGCACUGGAGGAGGAGGAGCACGGUCUCGAGGUGGAGAGGGGCGGCGGUCUUCCUCGGGCGCCGGCGUGUGUGUCGGAGGCCGCGGCGCGGGGUCCCUGGCGGUUGCAGAUCUCGGAAUGGAGUGGUGACCGGGCGCGGCGGUCGGGAGUCGCGGUGGUGUCCAAGGCGUGCGGUGUGCUUCCUGCCGGCGCUGGAGUGGCUCGGGGAAGGCAGCGCCUUGGAUUGCUGGUGGUGGCGCGGUCAGGAUCUGGCCAGAGCUCGGCUCAGGAAAUCGCAAAGGGAGCGCCUUGGUGGUGUGUGCAUUCGCUGGAGGCGCAGCGCGCUGGCUCCUGCCCCCACGCCUAUGGUGCCGGCGGGUCUUGGCAGCGCCAGGGAGGGUGGCUUGGAGCUGGUGACGUUUGUCUUUCGACCGUGCAGGAGCUGGAGGUUGGCCGGCGUGCUCUCGGCUGUGUGAUGGGUCGGUGUUCCGCGACGGUUUUGGCCAUGAUGGCAAGGCGCUGCUGCAACGGCGGUCUGGCGGCGACGGCGCCUGAGGGUGUCGUUUCCCUCCUUGGAGGCGUCGCUGAGAUCGAGCGGUCAAAACAGAUCACGCCCUCAUCGAUUCUUUCCACUCCCUCGACACCACCUCCCCUCCACCCGGCGGCGCCCCCUCCUUUCUCCCCACCUGCCUUCCUCUCCAUCUGGCGGCGCCUCCUCCCUCCUUCCCACGGCAUCCCGCACCGCGCGCCACCGGCUAGCUGCACCACCAUCGCAUCCUCAUAUACUCCAGCCCACUAUGCCAGCGAGAGAGGAAGCUGCGGGAGGAGGAGAGCCCAUCCCGUGAGGAAGACGUGGGGAGGAGCUCUACCCGUCUCAGUUGCUGGCCGGGGUCUGGAAGAAGAGGAGACCCAGUGCCGGCAUCGGCUCCAGCGAUGCGGGUUGACGGCCAGUGCAGGCGAGCGCGGCGUGCAGUGCGGUGCCCUAGACAGGUGGCAACGGCCGUCAAGACAGGAGAGGCGCCGUGAGCGACGACCCUUGGUCGUCUUCAGGUGCGCGUCGUCCGUGGUGGCCGAUCAUGGGUGUUGGCUGGUGGCCGGAGGCCCCUGCAGUAGGCCGGUGCCCCUUAGCAAGAUUGGCACGAACUGGGAAGGCAACCGGUGUGUAAAGGGGCUGCUCAGUUUUGAAACAACAAAUGUGUGUGUGUUCGUCGUUUCUCCUUUCUUCUCACAUGAAGAUGGGGCUGCUCAGUUUUGGAACAACAAACCAUGGAGGAUAUGGGUCUGCACGGGCUUGGAGCAGGAAGCCAUGGCGGCCAAGGCUAAGUGCUCAUGCUAUGGAAGCGACGAGGGCUGCCACAGUGUUGACAAGGUUUUGGUGUUCUCCAUGCCAUUUUUUCUCAUAAUCCCCGAGGGCUACCGAUUUGAUCUUUUGUUGUUCCUGGUGUACCGAUUUGUGAAACUCACCUCUUAUGUCAAGGUGGGAAGCUUGGCUGAUUCCACCUUCACAUUUAAAGAAGUGGCAAUAAUUAGCCAUCCUCGUGCUGGUGAAUACGCAUUUGGGUUUAUAACAUCGAGCAUGAUUCUUCAGGUACAGUCAAAAACUUUCCCCGUCCCCCAGGCCCUGUGGGCUGCGAUUGAACUUAGAUUUCUAAUCCCUAGCUUAACUUCCUAUGAUAGGCGGAAGUUGCUUUUCCCAAACUACUUGCAUCUAUAUGAUAAGCGUUUGCUGAAAAGAUCAAAACAGCUGGCAUCUGGCUCAUUAGAUACUUGCACUAGCAAAUCAAUCUCUCUUUCUCUCAUCUACAGGCAGGUCACGGCUAACAUCAUUGAGCAUCAACGGCAAGCAACAAGUGACCAGCAGCAUGAAGCGACAACGGCAAGUAGCAAACAACACCAACAGCGGCGGCGAUUUCUCACCCUGCUGUUAGUGGCGAGGUCGGACAGAGCAGAGCAACGAGCUAUGGGCAGUGGUAAUGGCGGUCAGCGUCAGGAAGAAGUAGGAGGGAUCCGCGGCUUCAAAUCUGUGGUCCAGAGCAGAUGUGGACAAAGCAGAGCCCCUCAAAGUCCCUAUAGCUGUUCGGUGAGGAUGACGACCGCGGCGGCUGACGGAACCGAGGAAGGCGGCCUCGGUCCAAGAGCAAGGGGAAGUGGGGAACUACCUGGGAGCAAGAACGCACUAGAAAACGAGGCGAUUCACGGCGCCGUCCAGCUGGCGUGCAUGUCGAAGCUGGAGGCAUGGACGUCGAUCCAGACUGAGGGCUGCCGAAUCCCGCCGGUUCCUGUGACCGGCGUUGCAACGACGAGCGGCGGUGCCCCCGGCGAGCUAGACGAGAGAGGGGAUCCAAGAGAAGAGGAUAUGAAGUGA